CUUUGGUAGCCUCCUUACUUGCUCCACUUGCUUCAGAGAGAGAAGUGCGGGUUUGCGGUUUAGUGAAGGAGCAAGGCUCAUGUGAAUAGAAGAAUCCAAGGUAGAGCAGGAAGAGAAAUCCAGCUAGAGAAAGAGGUGGAAGUCAAAAUAAGUAGACUCUUAUUUUAAAUUUUUAAUGGCUUCUUGGUGGCUUCAAGAUAAAAGAUAGACAAUGAGGAGCUUUGUGUUUGGGAAAAGAAUAAAAGUCAACUGUAGCAAAACCUCUCAGAAGUAGGAUUUAUAAACAGUUCUCAAAGGAUGCACAUGAAAAUGUAAUUUCUUGGGAAAGUGGCAAACAGAAAAGAAUCAAACCGCAGUUGUGUGUGGCAAGGAUAAAUAUGCAACGCACCAUCAAUAGGAUUUGUUGGGUGAAUAAAAAAGCCUUUUAGCCAACAAUAUGUAAGCAGAAGAAUGGAGCAGGAGUUAGAGAGAACCCUCAAGCAAUAAUGGAGGCCACUGGAGAGGCAAGACUGCCAAAGGCUAAGUUAUUGACCCAGUAUUUUUAAAACUGCCUCCGAAAAGAAGCCUGAACGAAAGAAAAUAAUUUGUGCUAUUAGAAUGUAUUUUUCCUUUGUGUUCCUAUCUACUUCCUUCACAAGCUAUUUUUGGAUGACAGGAUGGAGUCUCCAGCUGUGAAAGUGUUGCUGCAGACAGCCCUCAGCUUCCAGUUCUUGUAAAAAUGGCCUCAGCUUCAGAGAGCUCCAUUACCCAAGCUCAUUCAUUUCCUGGGGUGUUCUGCAUCCAGUGAGUGUUCUGUGGACUUGCCAGUUCAAUUCUCAUUCUAAGAUGCUGUUGUCCACCUACACCAAGCAGGUGAG
RNAcentral lists this long non-coding RNA (857 nucleotides) under Homo sapiens (human). RNAcentral's name for it is "HSALNT0318248". Lineage: Eukaryota; Metazoa; Chordata; Mammalia; Primates; Hominidae. The record is from RNAcentral.